This 22-nucleotide unclassified non-coding RNA is filed under the name synthetic construct. The record is from RNAcentral.
CAAAUCCAACAAAGUCUGGCUU